Molecule: ribosomal RNA, 432 nt
Filed under: Kocuria palustris
Lineage: Bacteria; Bacillati; Actinomycetota; Actinomycetes; Micrococcales; Micrococcaceae
Description: bacterial SSU rRNA
Rfam family: Bacterial small subunit ribosomal RNA
Source: RNAcentral
UGGCGUGCUUUACACAUGCAAGUCGAACGCUGAAGCACCAGCUUGCUGGUGUGGAUGAGUGGCGAACGGGUGAGUAAUACGUGAGUAACCUGCCCUUGACUCUGGGAUAAGCCCGGGAAACUGGGUCUAAUACUGGAUGCUACAUGUCACCGCAUGGUGGUGUGUGGAAAGGGUUUACUGGUCUUGGAUGGGCUCACGGCCUAUCAGCUUGUUGGUGAGGUAAUGGCUCACCGAGGCGACGACGGGUAGCCGGCCUGAGAGGGUGACCGGCCACACUGGGACUGAGACACGGCCCAGACUCCUACGGGAGGCAGCAGUGGGGAAUAUUGCACAAUGGGCGAAAGCCUGAUGCAGCGACGCCGCGUGAGGGAUGACGGCCUUCGGGUUGUAAACCUCUUCAGCAGGAAGAAGCCACAAGUGAUCGAUCCCCAG